AUUUUUCGUCACUACCUCCCCGUGCCGGGAGUGGGUAAUUUGCGCGCCUGCUGCCUUCCUUGGAUGUGGUAGCCGUUUCUCAGGCUCCCUCUCCGGAAUCGAACCCUGAUUCCCCGUUACCCGUUACAACCAUGGUAGGCGCAGAACCUACCAUCGACAGUUGAUAAGGCAGACAUUUGAAAGAUGCGUCGCCGGUGCGAGACCGUGCGAUCAGCAAAAAGUUAUUCAGAGUCACCAAAAAGUGCGACGAACAGUAACGCCGAAACGCUACUGCCGCCGAUUGGUUUUGAUCUAAUAAAAGCACUCCUUCCGUCUCCGGUCGGAGCUCUGUUUGCAUGUAUUAGCUCUAGAAUUACCACAGUUAUCCAAGUAAAUGUGGGUACGAUCUAAGGAACCAUAACUGAUUUAAUGAGCCUUUCGCGGUUUCACCUUAAUUUGGCUUGUACUGAGACAUGCAUGGCUUAAUCUUUGAGACAAGCAUAUGACUACUGGCAGGAUC
Molecule: ribosomal RNA, 499 nt
Filed under: Microcharidius cf. gonzaloi CA79
Lineage: Eukaryota; Metazoa; Arthropoda; Insecta; Coleoptera; Carabidae
Description: partial 18S ribosomal RNA
Source: RNAcentral